This 350-nucleotide ribosomal RNA is filed under the name Gyretes sp. KBMGesp615. Its description in RNAcentral is "partial 12S ribosomal RNA". The record is from RNAcentral. Lineage: Eukaryota; Metazoa; Arthropoda; Insecta; Coleoptera; Gyrinidae.
UUUGAAUGUAAAAUUUUAUGCUAAAGAAUUAUUAGUUAUGUUCUUUAAAUUUAAAAAAUUUGGCGGUAUUUUAGUCUAUUCAGAGGAACCUGUUCUAUAAAUGAUAGUCCACGAUUAGUUUUACUUAAAUUAAAAGUUUGUAUAUCGUUGUUUAAAAAAUUUUAUAAGAAAAAUAAUUUUUGAGAGAUUUAAUUAGAUUAUUAUUCAAAUCAAGGUGCAGCUUAUAUUUAAGAAGAAAUGGGUUACAAUAAUUAUUAAUUAAAUGGAUUUUAAGUUUAAAAUUUUUAUGAAGGUGGAUUUGAUAGUAAAUUUAUUUAUUUAAAUAAAUUGAUUUAAGCUCUAAAAUAUGU